RNAcentral lists this transfer RNA (69 nucleotides) under Leptocorisa costalis. RNAcentral's name for it is "tRNA-Gln". Lineage: Eukaryota; Metazoa; Arthropoda; Insecta; Hemiptera; Alydidae. The record is from RNAcentral.
UAUAUAUUGGUGUAUGAUGCACAGAGAAUUUUGAUUUCUUUGGUUUUAGUUUAAAUCUAAAGUGUAUAA